Molecule: ribosomal RNA, 508 nt
Filed under: uncultured bacterium
Lineage: Bacteria
Description: partial 16S ribosomal RNA
Rfam family: Bacterial small subunit ribosomal RNA
Source: RNAcentral
GACGAACGCUGGCGGCGUGCCUAAUACAUGCAAGUCGAACGCUUCUUUCCUCCCGAGUGCUUGCCUUCAAUUGGAAAGAGGAGUGGCGGACGGGUGAGUAACACGUGGGUAACCUACCCAUCAGAGGGGGAUAACACUUGGAAACAGGUGCUAAUACCGCAUAACAGUUUAUGCCGCAUGGCAUAAGAGUGAAAGGCGCUUUCGGGUGUCGUUGAUGGAUGGACCCGCGGUGCAUUAGCUAGUUGGUGAGGUAACGGCUCACCAAGGCCACGAUGCAUAGCCGACCUGAGAGGGUGAUCGGCCACACUGGGACUGAGACACGGCCCAGACUCCUACGGGAGGCAGCAGUAGGGAAUCUUCGGCAAUGGACGAAAGUCUGACCGAGCAACGCCGCGUGAGUGAAGAAGGUUUUCGGAUCGUAAAACUCUGUUGUUAGAGAAGAACAAGGACGUUAGUAACUGAACGUCCCCUGACGGUAUCUAACCAGAAAGCCACGGCUAACUACGUG